UACAGAGGUCUCAAGCGUUGUUCGGAUUCAUUGGGCGUAAAGGGUGUGUAGGUGGCGCCGUAAGUCGGGUGUGAAAUUUCGGAGCUUAACUCCGAAACUGCAUUCGAUACUGCGGUGCUUGAGGACUGGAGAGGAGACUGGAAUUCAUGGUGUAGCAGUGAAAUGCGUAGAGAUCAUGAGGAAGACCAGUGGCGAAGGCGGGUCUCUGGACAGUUCCUGACACUGAGGAGCGAAAGCGUGGGGAGCAAACAGG
This 253-nucleotide ribosomal RNA is filed under the name uncultured bacterium. RNAcentral describes it as "partial 16S ribosomal RNA". It matches the Rfam family "Bacterial small subunit ribosomal RNA", at positions 524 to 776 of the family's 1533-position model. The record is from RNAcentral.